This 496-nucleotide ribosomal RNA is filed under the name uncultured bacterium. RNAcentral's name for it is "partial 16S ribosomal RNA". It matches the Rfam family "Bacterial small subunit ribosomal RNA", at positions 30 to 523 of the family's 1533-position model. The record is from RNAcentral.
AUUGAACGCUGGCGGAAUGCUUUACACAUGCAAGUCGAACGGUAGAGGGGGCAACCCCUCGAGAGUGGCGAACGGGUGAGUAAUAUAUCGGAACGUGCCCAGUCGUGGGGGAUAACGUAGCGAAAGUUACGCUAAUACCGCAUACGAUCUAAGGAUGAAAGCGGGGGAUCGCAAGACCUCGCGCGAUUGGAGCGGCCGAUCACAGAUUAGGUAGUUGGUGGGGUAAAGGCUCACCAAGCCAACGAUCUGUAGCUGGUCUGAGAGGACGACCAGCCACACUGGAACUGAGACACGGUCCAGACUCCUACGGGAGGCAGCAGUGGGGAAUUUUGGACAAUGGACGCAAGUCUGAUCCAGCCAUUCCGCGUGCAGGAUGAAGGCCCUCGGGUUGUAAACUGCUUUUGUACGGAACGAAAAGGUCUCUCUUAAUACGGGGGGCUCAUGACGGUACCGUAAGAAUAAGCACCGGCUAACUACGUGCCAGCAGCCGCCGCGG